CAGUAGCCGCGGUAAUACGUAGGUGGCAAGCGUUGUCCGGAAUUAUUGGGCGUAAAGGGCUCGCAGGCGGUUUCUUAAGUCUGAUGUGAAAGCCCCCGGCUCAACCGGGGAGGGUCAUUGGAAACUGGGAAACUUGAGUGCAGAAGAGGAGAGUGGAAUUCCACGUGUAGCGGUGAAAUGCGUAGAGAUGUGGAGGAACACCAGUGGCGAAGGCGACUCUCUGGUCUGUAACUGACGCUGAGGUGCGAAAGCGUGGGGAGCGAACAGGAUUAGAUACCCCUGUAGUCCCUGUCUCUUAUAC
RNAcentral lists this ribosomal RNA (301 nucleotides) under uncultured bacterium. RNAcentral's name for it is "partial 16S ribosomal RNA". It matches the Rfam family "Bacterial small subunit ribosomal RNA", at positions 509 to 807 of the family's 1533-position model. The record is from RNAcentral.